UGGGGGAUAUUGCACAAUGGGCGAAAGCCUGAUGCAGCGACGCCGCGUGGGGGAUGAAGGCCUUCGGGUUGUAAACUUCUUUUGCUCUGAACAAGGCGCACCAUGGGGUGUGUUGAGUGUAGGGGUUGAUUAGCGCCGGCUAACUACGUGCCAGCAGCCGCGGUAAUACGUAGGGCGCGAGCGUUGUCCGGAAUUAUUGGGCGUAAAGGGCUUGUAGGUGGCUGGUUGCGUCUGUCGUGAAAGCUCAUGGCUUAACUGUGGGUUUGCGGUGGGUACGGGCUGGCUUGAGUGCAGUAGGGGAGGGUGGAAUUCCUGGUGUAGCGGUGGAAUGCGCAGAUAUCAAGAGGAAUACCGGUGGCGAAGGCGGGUCUCUUGGCUGUUACUGAAACUGAGGAGCGAAAGAAUGGGGAGCGAACAGG
This 419-nucleotide ribosomal RNA is filed under the name bacterium. Its description in RNAcentral is "partial 16S ribosomal RNA". It matches the Rfam family "Bacterial small subunit ribosomal RNA", at positions 355 to 776 of the family's 1533-position model. The record is from RNAcentral.